ACUCAAAUGAAUUGACGGGGGCCCGCACAAGCGGUGGAGCAUGUGGUUCAAUUCGACGCAACGCGAAGAACCUUACCAGCCUUUGACAUGUCCGGUUUGAGAAGCAGAGAUGCAUCUCUUCAGUUCGGCUGGCCGGAACACAGGUGCUGCAUGGCUGUCGUCAGCUCGUGUCGUGAGAUGUUGGGUUAAGUCCCGCAACGAGCGCAACCCUCGCCCUUAGUUGCCAUCAUUCAGUUGGGCACUCUAAGGGGACUGCCGGUGAUAAGCCGCGAGGAAGGUGGGGAUGACGUCAAGUCCUCAUGGCCCUUACAGGCUGGGCUACACACGUGCUACAAUGGCGGUGACAAUGGGAGGCAAUGGAGCGAUCCUGCGCAAAUCUCAAAAAGCCGUCUCAGUUCGGAUUGCACUCUGCAACUCGAGUGCAUGAAGUUGGAAUCGCUAGUAAUCGUGGAUCAGCAUGCCACGGUGAAUACGUUCCCGGGCCUUGCACACACCGCCCGU
This 501-nucleotide ribosomal RNA is filed under the name uncultured bacterium. Its description in RNAcentral is "partial 16S ribosomal RNA". It matches the Rfam family "Bacterial small subunit ribosomal RNA", at positions 899 to 1397 of the family's 1533-position model. The record is from RNAcentral.